GAUGAUGUGAGAGUGGCAGAGGAGGUCCUCCAGGGUCAAGCUGCAGAGCCAACAGGAGCAAACUUGGACACAUCUCCUCCACAAAAGAAGUCGGCGAUGGCAGAGCUUUUUGGAGAGACCUUUGCCAGCAAAGACAUGGACAGCAAGACUCCUGCUGACAUCAUCAAAGAGGAGGUGGCAUUCUACCUGGCAGCAAGCAGCAUUCCAGUGGAUGGUGAUCCACUGACAUGGUGGAAAAGCAAUGAGUGUACCCUCAUAUUGCUAAGAUGGCAAGAUGCUAUCUCGCUGUGCCAGGCUCUUCAGUUCCUUCCGAGAGAGUGUUCUCAACAGCAGGGGACAUAGUGACUGCAAAGAGGUCCACACUCUCCCCAGACAAUGUAGACACCCUUGUUUUUUUGAAAAAGAAUUUGAAAUUAUAAGCUCAUGUAUGCUUUGUUUUCUUUCUUUAAUUCUUCUUUGAUGAUGUGGACGUAGGCUUUAUGUCACUCUCAUAAAGCUAUUGUUUCAAGGAAGAUGAUGUGCGUUCUUAUGUUGCACUUUAAGUUGUUUUUUAUUAAUGGUCAUUGGUCCAUGUUUAAAGAAAGGAGAUGUGCCUUUUUAUGUUGCACUUUAAGUUGUUUUUUUAUUAAUGGUCAUUGGUCCAUGUUUAAAGAAAGGAGAUGUGCCUUUUUAUGUUGCACUUUAAGUUGUUUUUCAUUAAUAAUGUUGAAAAGAAGAUAUUAAUUGUGCACUUUAAGUUGAUUUUAUAUUGCUAAUAAACAAAAAGACACAACUUAUGUUUGUCGAUUUUUUUUUUUUUUUUUUUUUGCUGAUCC
Molecule: long non-coding RNA, 815 nt
Organism: Alosa sapidissima (American shad)
Lineage: Eukaryota; Metazoa; Chordata; Actinopteri; Clupeiformes; Clupeidae
Exons: 2
Source: RefSeq, a predicted model, not a curated record